RNAcentral lists this ribosomal RNA (1433 nucleotides) under metagenome. RNAcentral's name for it is "bacterial LSU rRNA". It matches the Rfam family "Bacterial large subunit ribosomal RNA", at positions 1500 to 2909 of the family's 2925-position model. The record is from RNAcentral.
UGUUGUCCAAGUUUAAGGUGGUAGGCUGAAAUCUUAGGUAAAUCCGGGGUUUCAAGGCCGAGAGCUGAUGACGAGUCGUCUUUUAGAUGACGAAGUGGUUGAUGCCAUGCUUCCAAGAAAAGCUUCUAAGCUUCAGGUAACCAGGAACCGUACCCCAAACCGACACAGGUGGUCGGGUAGAGAAUACCAAGGCGCUUGAGAGAACUCGGGUGAAGGAACUAGGCAAAAUGGCACCGUAACUUCGGGAGAAGGUGCGCCGGCUAGGGUGAAGGAUUUACUCCGUAAGCUCUGGCUGGUCGAAGAUACCAGGCCGCUGCGACUGUUUAUUAAAAACACAGCACUCUGCAAACACGAAAGUGGACGUAUAGGGUGUGACGCCUGCCCGGUGCCGGAAGGUUAAUUGAUGGGUUAGCGCAAGCGAAGCUCUUGAUCGAAGCCCCGGUAAACGGCGGCCGUAACAAUAACGGUCCUAAGGUAGCGAAAUUCCUUGUCGGGUAAGUUCCGACCUGCACGGAUGGCGUAACGAUGGCGGCGCUGUCUCCACCCGAGACUCAGUGAAAUUGAAAUCGCUGUGAAGAUGCAGUGUAUCCGCGGCUAGACGGAAAGACCCCGUGAACCUUUACUGUAGCUUUGCACUGGACUUUGAGCCUGCUUGUGUAGGAUAGGUGGGAGGCUUUGAAGCGUGGACGCCAGUUCGCGUGGAGCCAUCCUUGAAAUACCACCCUGGCAUGCUUGAGGUUCUAACUCUGGUCCGUAAUCCGGAUCGAGGACAGUGUAUGGUGGGCAGUUUGACUGGGGCGGUCUCCUCCUAAAGAGUAACGGAGGAGUACGAAGGUGCGCUCAGACCGGUCGGAAAUCGGUCGCAGAGUAUAAAGGCAAAAGCGCGCUUGACUGCGAGACAGACACGUCGAGCAGGUACGAAAGUAGGUCUUAGUGAUCCGGUGGUUCUGUAUGGAAGGGCCAUCGCUCAACGGAUAAAAGGUACUCCGGGGAUAACAGGCUGAUACCGCCCAAGAGUUCAUAUCGACGGCGGUGUUUGGCACCUCGAUGUCGGCUCAUCACAUCCUGGGGCUGAAGCCGGUCCCAAGGGUAUGGCUGUUCGCCAUUUAAAGUGGUACGCGAGCUGGGUUUAGAACGUCGUGAGACAGUUCGGUCCCUAUCUGCCGUGGACGUUUGAGAUUUGAGAGGGGCUGCUCCUAGUACGAGAGGACCGGAGUGGACGAACCUCUGGUGUUCCGGUUGUCACGCCAGUGGCAUUGCCGGGUAGCUAUGUUCGGAAAAGAUAACCGCUGAAAGCAUCUAAGCGGGAAACUUGCCUCAAGAUGAGAUCUCACUGGGAACUUGAUUCCCCUGAAGGGCCGUCGAAGACUACGACGUUGAUAGGCUGGGUGUGUAAGCGUUGUGAGGCGUUGAGCUAACCAGUACUAAUUGCC